GAUGAAGAACGUAGCGAAAUGCGUUAAGUAAUGUGAAUUGCAGAAUUCAGUGAAUCAUCGAGUCUUUGAACGCACCUUGCGCUCCUUGGUAUUCCGAGGAGCAUGCCUGUUUGAGUGUCAUUAAAUUCUCAACCUUAUUAGCUUUUGUUGAUAAUGGCUUGGACUUUGGGGGUCUUUUGCUGGCCUUGAUGGGUCAGCUCCCCUUAAAUGUAUUAGCUGGUUCUGGACUUGUCUUAUUGGUGUGAUAAUUAUCUAUGCCAUGGAUGGUCUGCUUUUGAGCUGCUUCUAACUGUCUGUUGACUUUAUGACAAUUUGACCUCAAAUCAGGUAGGACUACCCGCUGAACUUAAGCAUAUCAAUAAGCGGAGGA
Molecule: unclassified non-coding RNA, 370 nt
Filed under: soil metagenome
Description: partial contains 5.8S ribosomal RNA, internal transcribed spacer 2, and large subunit ribosomal RNA
Rfam family: 5.8S ribosomal RNA (bases 1-120)
Source: RNAcentral